Molecule: transfer RNA, 65 nt
Filed under: Ochthebius griotes
Lineage: Eukaryota; Metazoa; Arthropoda; Insecta; Coleoptera; Hydraenidae
Description: tRNA-Pro
Source: RNAcentral
CAGAAGAUAGUUUAUAAAAAUUUUAAUUUUGGAGAUUAAAGAUAAGAAUUAUUUCUUUCUUCUGA